RNAcentral lists this long non-coding RNA (2541 nucleotides) under Malus domestica (apple). RNAcentral's name for it is "long non-coding RNA (MDOM_LNC011963)". The record is from RNAcentral. Lineage: Eukaryota; Viridiplantae; Streptophyta; Magnoliopsida; Rosales; Rosaceae.
CGUCUCGGCCCGAUUUGUCUAGCUACCGCCCCGAUAUUUCUGAACUCCCGAAUCAUCUCUUUGAAUCCCGGACUUCCAAACCCGGAUCCAGUCUUCAACACCCAUUUCACGAUCCGGAAAAAGUUCAGCUCAACCUCUUCUCCCGUCGCCAAAGCCGGUUGGCUUCUGGGUCUCGGAGGAGAGAAGAAGAAGAAGAGCAUCAGCAUGCCCGAUAUAGUGAAAGCAGGUGACCCGGUUUUGCACGAACCGGCCCGAGAUGUUGAGCCCGGGGAUAUUGGGUCGGAGAGGAUCCAGAAGAUAAUUGAUGAUAUGGUGAGGGUGAUGCGGAAGGCUCCUGGGGUCGGUCUUGCCGCUCCUCAGAUUGGAAUUCCCUUGAGGGUCAGUUUUGGUAUUUUAUCUUAAAGGCUCAAGUUAAUCACUGACUAUUUAUUAAACGGUACACUAGUAAUAUCACUGUUUCCUAAAUUAAACACUUAUUAUUUCUCAAACGGAACACUAAUACUAUCACUAUUUCUUAACUGAACAUUGACUACUUCUUAAAAUGAACAUUAUUUCUCAAAUUAAACACUGACUAUAUCUUAAACCGAACAUUAGUACAUCACUAUUUUAUAAAUUGAACAUAAGUACUGUCACUAUUUCGUAAACUAAACACUGACUAUUUCUUAAACGGAACACUAGUACUAUCACUGUUUUGUAAACUAAACACUGACUAUUUCUUAAAUGGAACACUAGUACUAUCAUUGUUUCAUAAACUAAACACUGACUAUUUAUUAAACGGAACACUAGUACUAUCAUUGUUUUGUAAACUAAACACUGAUUAUUUCUCAAACGGAAUACUAAUACUAUCACUUGUUCGUAAAUUAAACAUUGACUAUUUUUAAAAUCGAACACUAAUACUAUCACUAUUUCGUAACUAGAACUAUCAUAUUCGUGUUUGUUAUUUGACAUUGACUUUCCUUUAAUUUUUUUUUUCCACACAAACUGAGCUUCUCUCUUCAUUUACGCAUACAAAAAUACCCACAUCAGUUUUGGUCGCCCACAACCCAGACCAAAUUGAACCUAGCCCACCCCUUGUAAACCCACCGAGAUGCGAGUUUGAGAGAGUCACAAGAACAACUUUAGCAGAAUUUGUUAAGAGUUUUACAUGCUGACAUUGUAACCCACAUCAAUUUUAGUGCAUUGAGUGCCCUUUAACUCCACAUCACCUUGCCAGUGAAUCAGUUUCUGUUGCCAUUGCGAAUCUAUCGGCGGAGCCCCAAAUCACCCACUUUGACAAAUCCAGUUCCACCGAAUCAACCUCCCUCCCUCCAAAUUGAAAUACAAACCCUCUUAUGUGAUGACUCACCAACCUCGGAGUAAUCAAAUUUAACACCCCCGUUGACCUCAAGAAAUGAUUCAGGAUUUGGAAGCAAACGAGAAGCAAUCCGGGAUUAGAAAAUCAAAUCACAGAUGAACAAAACCCAUAAUUUAUCUGUGUUCUUCUCUCUCUCCUCUCUUUAUUUGCGCACUAAAUCAGUUUCCCAUCAUCAACUUGAAAAAUCGAAGUGGAGUUGCAGAUAGAAAGUUAGAGAGAGAAAGUGAGAAAGAGAGUGGGGGAGCGCGAGAGGGAGCUCAUGGGAUUUAUGGGUUGUUGGGGGUGAAUAUAAAGAAUCGUGACUUUUUCAGCUCUCUGACAAGGGCAAAAGUAAACUGACGGAAUAAAACGAAACUGACUUAACCUAAAACGUUAGGGGCAAAAUCGACAAGUAAUGGUAUUAUUUUGGUUGGGCCAUUGUAGUUGGACUGCUUUAGUAUUAAGCUUUGUACUAACCAUUAAAUAAAGUUGUAACAUGUUUUUUGGUUAAAAUCCAAAGUUUUCAAGCCUUUUUCAUUAGUUUUCCUUUUAAACUAUCAUUCAUAGAAAUUUAAAAAUGACACAUAUUUACAUAGAAUUUAAACAUGAGAAUAGGAGGUCCCAAAUUUUAUAGGUUUUUUCUCACGCGAAAAUUCUAAAUUUUUUUUUUAUAAAUUCAAACAAAAAAAAAUUGAUGCAUAUCAAUUUAUAAACCAAAUUGUAAGUUUGUUUCCCUUGUGCAAUUGCAACCAUAGUGUAAAAGAAAGCUUGGCUUGACGUUGUUAUUAAGGUGCCUGAACGACGACAUUAUUGUUGCUGUCGUUUGAUUGAAGCAGCGGACGACAUCAUCACCUGCAAAGCAUUCUUAAACCCUCUACUUGAAAAUCCGAACCACGGCUAUGGAAACCAUCCACCGAUUCUCGCUUCGUCUCGGCCCGAUUUGUCUAGCUACCGCCCCGAUAUUUCUGAACUCCCGAAUCAUCUCUCUUUGAAUCCCGGACUUCCAAACCCGGAUCCAGUCUCCAACACCCAUUUCACGAUCCGGAAAAAGUUCAGCUCAACCUCUUCUCCCGUCGCCAAAGCCGGUUGGCUUCUGGGUCUCGGAGGAGAGAAGAAGAAGAGCAUCAGCAUGCCCGAUAUAGUGAAAGCAGGUGACCCGGUUUUGCACGAACCGGCCCGAGAUGUUGAGCCCGGGGAUAUUGGGUCGG